Molecule: small RNA, 553 nt
Filed under: Pongo abelii (Sumatran orangutan)
Lineage: Eukaryota; Metazoa; Chordata; Mammalia; Primates; Hominidae
Description: retained intron
Source: RNAcentral
CAUUCUCUCCCUCAGAGACCCCAUAUGUGCAACCCCUGCAUGAGACACCCCUUCAAUCCCGCAUUCAUUCCCUGCGUGAAAGCUUCCGGCCUAUGAGCCGCCAAUCUGGCCCCUGAAGUCGGGCUGGACAAAUAGGUUGUGGGAAGGUGGGUUUCUGGGUGCACACACCACCUCUGGUCUCCCUGCCCCGCCAGGCUCUUGCCCACGUGGAGGCCUAUAUCGAUUUCGGCGAGGAUGACAACCUGGAGGAGGGGGUCCUGGAGCAAGGUGGGUCUACCUGCUGGUGGGGGAGGAAGACACCUCGUAUCAGCCCUCAAAGGCUCCCCUCACUGUUUCUCUCUGCCUGCCUUCUCUCACCCACAGCCGACAUCGAAGUACGGGCACUGGAGGUGGCCCUGGGUGCACAUCUACGAGAUGCCAGGCGCGGGCAGAGGCUCCGCUCAGGGGCGCACGUAGUGGUCACUGGACCCCCCAAUGCGGGCAAGAGCAGCCUGGUGAACCUGCUCAGUCGGAAACCCGUGUCCAUCGUGUCCCCGGAGCCAGGGACCACCCG